This 22-nucleotide non-coding RNA is filed under the name Arabidopsis thaliana (thale cress). Lineage: Eukaryota; Viridiplantae; Streptophyta; Magnoliopsida; Brassicales; Brassicaceae. RNAcentral also lists the same sequence under 2 other names. The record is from RNAcentral.
CUAGUAGCUGGUUCCCUCCGAA